GGAGAGGUGGGUGAGUGGCUGAAACCAGCUCCCUGCUAAGGAGCCAUACGUAUUGCACGUAUCGAGGGUUCGAAUCCCUCCCUCUCCGCCA
This 91-nucleotide transfer RNA is filed under the name Halomonadaceae bacterium. RNAcentral describes it as "tRNA-Ser". It matches the Rfam family "tRNA". From Rfam's summary of the family: Transfer RNA (tRNA) molecules are approximately 80 nucleotides in length. Their secondary structure includes four short double-helical elements and three loops (D, anti-codon, and T loops). The record is from RNAcentral. Lineage: Bacteria; Pseudomonadati; Pseudomonadota; Gammaproteobacteria; Oceanospirillales; Halomonadaceae.